Molecule: long non-coding RNA, 1151 nt
Filed under: Homo sapiens (human)
Lineage: Eukaryota; Metazoa; Chordata; Mammalia; Primates; Hominidae
Description: HSALNT0056657
Source: RNAcentral
ACUCAGCUAGAUAAUCUAGGAAACACCAAAUAAAUAAAGCAAAGUAUUCCUGCUUUCAACAUGCUUAUAGCCUGUUAGGGAAGAUAGAAAUAAUAUGGAGUAUGGUGUAUAAGAAAAGAAGAUUAGAGAAACUAUGAUGAAUUGCUCAAUUGUGUGAUUUAGACAGCAAACAGGGAAUUAAAUUUGAAUGAUUGGAGUAUUCUUGGAUGAGUUUAUUAUGAAAAUUGAACUUUAAUUAGGGACCGGCGUGAGAGUAUGGAGGCUGAAGCCAUAGAAAGGAGAAAUUAUUCCAGCUGAGGCCAAAACAUGAACCAAGGCUGGGUCAUUGGCCUUAUCCCGCACCGAAGUUGAAACUUACACCAUCUGUUCACAUCAUCAGUUCUUCUGGUUCUCAUGCUUUUGAACUUCAACUGGCACAAUUCCACUGGCUCUCCUUAGUCUCCAGGUUGCAGAUGGCAGAUUAUAAAUCUCCUUAGCCUCCACCUUUAUAAUCCUAACUAUUACUGACACCUCUUUGAGGACAAAGGAAGUAGCUUUCUGCAAGCCAAAAAGACCUCAGAAAAACAACAAAUCUUCCAAACUCUUGAUUUUGACUUUUUGCCUCCAGAAUUGUGAAGAAAUAAAUAUCUGUUAUUUAAGUAGGCUAGUGUCUGGUAUUAUGUUAUGGCAGCCCUAGUAAACUAAUAUAGGUGUUCAUAACCAUAGGAAUAAACAAAGGAGCCAGACCUGGGUAGCACACAAACGACUUGAAAGAACGUGGAGUGAGUAGUAAGUGACUUUCCCAGGCCAUAGUAGGGCCCUUCUUCUCUUUCAAUCAUAUAAUUAGUUUUUCAGGCAUUGUUAGCGAGCUACAUGAAUAAGUAGACCCAGCAGACAUUCAUUCUUGAGACUGUAUUCCCCCAAAAGACUGAAUAUAUGGGCAGCAAACCUCAAUGAAGAGAAUAUUGAAAUAAGGCUACUCCUAUCUGUUCCACACAUCACACAUAUUGUGUUGGUUUCUAUUGCUCACCAAUUAGUUAAAACUUCAUGGACUAAGAUAAUAUUUAUUUAUGAUAUCAAAGUUUCUGUAGGUCAGAAACCCUGGCACUGGGCUGGGCGCGGUGGCUCACGCCUGUAAUCCCAGCACUUUGGGAGGCUAAGGAGGGUGGCUC